GUGAAUCUAGCCUGAAUACAGAAAGACGCUUCCGGUCUCAAUUUCUGGAUGGGAGAUGUUAAAAAAGUAAAAGCCCAAGAAUAGUGCAGUAGAACAGUAUGAACGAAAUUCAGCUCCAAAUGAAACAAGUAACUUUCAAUAAUAAUGAGUUAGCUUAACCAGUUAUCGCUCUCCAAUCUAAACAAUUUACCUAUAGUUGUCUGGAGGGGUUGGAAGUUGUUCCCCUCAGACUCGUCGCUCCUGAUACCUGUUCUGCACCGGUAUUUUAUCUAACCGGCCUGAACCAUUGCACACAGUUAAGACGAUACCGACUGCGUCGAAGUAACCGUUAAGAAUAUAAAAGCGAAAUUAAGAAGACUACUACAGCAGUAGUUCGAAGGUUGAGCCACUUUUAGCUUUAGUGUACCUAAGGCUUUUUUGUUUUUAUUCAGCCAACAAAAGGGCACAGUAUUGUAUGUUUUGUUUCGAAUAUUAGCUAGCUUGCUCAGCAUGGUGAACUGAUAGCUAGUGCUAGCUAAUCUAGUAGAGGAGUACUGAAGUGAAUACUGUGUACCGCCGUCAUUUUGCAAACGAACGUGCUGCUCAAAUAGCACCCGAGUAAUCCGGACACUCGUGGUUCCUUUGAGGCAGCCUACGUGGUAGCCACGCCACUGAAUAGCGCUCCUAGCUACCAGGACCGUUAGCAGUUCCAUUCAGCUACGUGGGAGGACCAGUUUGCCAGGACCGAUUGGCGGCUAGCUACGUGGGAUUGCAAACAGACAGACUGGAUGCAAUAUCAACGGUGCACGCGGCACAAACGUGGUGGUCGUGAGUAGCCCUUAUUGGACGCAAAAGAAAACAUUUAACAGGCCUGCAACGGGGGAUGAACUGAUUAUUUUAUUUGUUGUUUUCCAUGCCGGCUUUUGUAUUUUCUUUUAUAUCUGUAUGCAUGUCCCUGUUUGUAAGAGGUGACUAAUUUCAUGUGAACACAUGCCUAAAGUUAUGUUAUACUAGGGAGAGUUUUUGACAGUUACUAUUUUGUGUGGCUUAUUAUUAGCUCCCUUAUUGAUAAUUUAGUUUCAACUGUAAGUUGCUGGUUUAUUGCAGUUCAUUGAUUAGGGAGGUUGCUAUUUUCAUUAUUGACCUAGUGCCCAUAUCAAUUGAGUUUGCUAUACAUUUCUUCAAUAUAGUUUAAAUAGCCUAAACAUAACUAAAUCUUAUUUGUGGUAGGGAAUCAUUAUUAUUUCAAAUACAUGACUAUUUUGGUUAAAUAAAUUAUUUGUAGAUAAUUGUAAAUGUGUUAUGGACUCCACUCACUUCAAUUAGUUGACAUUAUUCAGGUGGCACAAAGUGAACUCAGGUAACAGCCGAGUCUUAACAGGGAAUUGACUCUAGGGCUACACUUAUUUAUCUCAAAUGCUAUGUAUACAGUUCAACAUUUGGAAGUGCUAAUCCACCGCAAUCUUGUGAAGUUAGUAGUUUCUUAAGUCUAAUUCUGGGCCUUUUCCCAUUCCAUAAGAACUCUGUAAUUAACUUGUUAUAUUGCUUAAAGAUUCCAUCAGAAACUGUCACUGGGAUCAUCAUAUAAAUGUAAUUCAAUUGUGGAGCCACCACUAUCUUAAUGAUACUCAUUUUUCCCCACAAAGUCAGUUUAAGUAGCUUCCAUUUGUCCAAAUUCAGCUUAAUUUUCUGUAUUAAAGGGGACAAGUUAAUAUUAAUUAUGUUUUCCAACUCUGGACACAAUCUUAUACCUAAAUAUUUCAAUCCAGUUUGGACCCACUUAAACUGAAAUUUGGCAAAUAUUGAUUGACUGCAUUCUUUCGAUAUCGGCAUACAUUCAGAUUUCUGCCAAUCUAUUUUAUAGCCUGACAGUUUUGAAAAAGACUAUUGAUGCCAGAAGAUGAGGUAUUGACAGUAGAGGAUCCUCAAUAACCAAUAAAAUAUCGUCUGCAUAGAGGAACAUUUUGUAUUCCUCUUCCCCAUGUGAGACCCCUUUUAAUUCUGCUCUCGGCAAUAGCUAGGGGUUCCAGAAAUAAUGUAAAUAGCAGAGGGCUGAGAGGAUCUCCCCGCUUAGUUCCACAUGUCAAUUUAAAGUAACAGUAUGCAACAAUUGUACCUUAAAAUAACAGCUUGAAAAAAAUUGUGCCGCUACAAUGACUUUUAAUAUGGCGAUUUGCGCCUCCGCCAUUGCCAUCGGGGGUCUGUGGGGAAAUAACUCCGCUAUGUAGGAUUCUGAGGCCGCCCGAUCUGGGGGCGGAUGUACUUCGACCUGCUUUCUGGCAGUGAUUACGCAAUGUCAUAUAGUGCCAGUCCACGCUCGCAGCUACAGUAUAAGGGAGAAGCAAGCGAAGUCUCAUCAGUAAUCAUCAUGGAGAACGCACCAAAGAAACAGAAGAAGACGAUGUCUGAUGAAGCAAAGAAGAGAAAAAGAGAGGCCGACAGAGCAAGAGAUCGGACUAGGGUCACAAUCGGAACAGCUUUUACUCGUUGGAGAGAGAGCUGAAAGACACAUUUGGAUACAAGUUCGAUUCACAGCUAGCCAUCUUUCUGCUGGAUUAGUAAGUAAUUUGUACUGUCUCUUGCUUGAUGUUUGACUGUGUUAUCAAAGUUGUUGACUGGCUAGUUUGUCAUACUCGAGGAAAGCACAUUUCAAUGGGUUUUGCUAGGCUUUAGGGUGUCCAGAUUUGAGUUUGUAAAAAAGAGGACGUAGUCGCUGGGGGAGCGUGCGGGGUCCAGCAUGCUAAACACUAGCCUACCCUGCCUUCUCCCCUGCGACGAAGUGUCCUCUUUUUCACAAACUCAAAUCUGGUCACCCUAUUAUAACACUUUUGGACAUUGAUGCUAGGUUUACGUCCUCUUUUUUGUCCAGGUAAAAGAGGACUUGUCCGCCCGGGUAAAAUAGGACGUCUGGUCACCCUAGCUUAGCCGCUAUCAAGACAUCUCGUUAGCGAUAUCAGACAUCUUGUUAUAACACGCUUGGACAAUGAUGCUAGUAAUAAUCGAGUAGCUAGUAAUAACGUCGUAUACACUUCUUUGUAAUGUUAUUGUGAACGCUAUCUGGCUAACUUGCCACCCAAGCUCCACUAGUCUCAGGAUAUUCCAGAUAUUUCCAAGGAAUUUAGCAAUAGUUGACUUUGUCUGCUAGCAUUCCCUUACAGCCAGUUGGUCUGUGGUUCAUGUUUCGUUAGCUUAGUAUGCUACUUGUGUGUUACCUGACUUGAAUGCCGUGAUUUGUGAAAACAUAUAUAAAGAUGUAGCGGCAAACAUACUGAAUUGGUUCUUUCUAUCAAAAGCGGUAGGGAAUGUCUACUCCCAGCAAGGGACAUGCACAGCCACCACCGCCGCCUGUAUCUAGUAUUUCAGAAGAGUCCGACCGAGAUGGGUGUAUCUUAGAACUGCGUUUCUAAACCAGCCAUGCAGGACAUUGUAAGUUGUGACUGACUUAUUUAUCUUUUGAAUCAGGGACAAAGAAUUCGCUAUGCAAGGUGUUCAACCGUUGGGCAAAGAAACCGAAGCGGUUGGUGUGCUAGAAUCUAGCAUGCACUCCUUGAGCAUUGCUGAAGAGGAGCAGCAUGACUCUCUGGAUGAGGAGGAGGCGAAUUAUAUGAGGAAUAGCAUUAUUGACAUGGAUGAUUGCUGGGAGGAUCCUAAUCAGAAGGGCUUGGAAGAAGAUCGGGACAGCUCUGAUGAAGACUAUAGUCCUUUUCUUCAUCUACGUGCCCCAGCUAUGACUGCCAACAUAAACCAACUCCUGGAGAUAAGCAUGGAUAAAGCCGUGCUUGAUGUGGCAACACCCAAUCCUCCAGGUGAGGACAUACAAGAAACUCCAGAACAACAAAAAGUUUCAGGUAUGCCCCUAUAGUUAUGCAAAUGCUAGUAGUUGUCAUACAUUUGCACAUACACACAAGCACUUAUGAUCAUAUUUCUGAACUUUUUUGUCUGUCUUGUAGAACCAUUACCAAUACAAUAAUUGUAUAACUCUGGGUGAUUUUCCAUGUUUGUUUUGUGUGCAAAAUCAGCUGCUUAGGCCUGACUGCUAAUCAGUGAUGGGCAAGCUACUUGAUAUGUGUAGUGAGCUAAGCUACAAGCUACUCUACAAUAAAUUCAGCUUCACUACACAGAAGCUACCACUCAUAAAAAUGUAGCAAGCUAAGUUACAAAAACCUGUCAAAAGUAGCUUGAUACAUUAGUAGCUACUUUCAGUUAAACAAACUGCAUGCCAAGUCAAUGCAAUUUUAGUGAUCAACACAACUGUCAGUCAGAUAAAGGCUAAAAUAUGUUUAGAUUUAUGUAUUGAACAAUAGCCCAAUACACAAAAAACAAAUGCAUGAGUUUACAUAUUAACAUCACAUGAGUUUACAAAUUAAACUUUGCUAAGAACUGUCUCCGACCUCUGUUUAGGAAAACAAUCGUGACUACCACUACCAUCAUACAGCCUUAUGUGAGUGUGUGUGUGUGUGUGUCCGUGUUGCCAACUCCUCUGUGAGGAAACUAGCUCUCCCAAAAAUCGCCAGAAGUCGUUAGAUGACGCAUGACGCACAAUAUGCAAUUCUGAGAGAGGUAACAUUUGUGCGCGAAUACAAAGUUCUGAUAUUUUGCCCGCAAAUACAAAGUUUUAAUAUUUUGCUGUUAUCUACAGCAUGCGCACGCGCAGCCGCUGUGUGAGUGGAGAUGAGACGAUGACAGCCCUCGCUGUACUCAGCUCUCGUGAGAUCGGUUGUAACGUGAACUGCAGAAAGGCAUAUGUGAGAUGCUUUUUCAGUGCUUUGUCAACACAAUAAUCCACCAAAUGACAAAAAACAUCAGAAAUGUCCAGGAGAAAUUAGCUUUCGAGGACGCUACUGCGCUACUUGAUCAAUAAAAGAGCUUAGCUACUGAAAAGUUACUUGGUUUUGUAAAUAGCGACGUUACAGUCAAGCUACUGGCAAAUGUAGUUAAGCUAGUAGCGUCGCUACAAGUAGCGACGCUACUGCCCAUCACUGCUGCUAAUCACAUUAUAAUUGAAAUUGAAAUGAAGCCUCAUCUGAUACUUUUCCUGGAGUAGCAUCUAGUGGUGAGAAGUGUGUCACUGACUGGGCCUUUCAGGGUUAUGUAUGUGUUUUUCAGGACAACUUCAGAUUUGGAGAAUUUCCAAAACCACAUACUCAUGUAUGCAGGAAAGCGGUUUGCCUACAGCCCCCCUGUUUACAAAACCCAGACAUUGCUUGCAGCAAUCGAUUACAACUAUCACAACCACCGCAUUCCUGCACGUGGCAAGGAUGGACACCGAAUGUACAGACAGUACUUCAACAAGAAGUCCGAGCGCUGGAGUGUAUAUGUGUUGAAGGAGAGCAAAGGCUACCAUUACAUUCCAGACCUGCAGAAGGCCAUCCUUGCUGAGUGGCUGGGAAGUGGAAUGGGCCUUCCCAGAAUACAGGGUCUAAGGCCUGAUGAUCCCAGGCGCUUGGGUUUGCUUGCCGCAACACAGCCUCCAUUCACAUUUGAACUUGUCGCGGCUCAGGUUUCACGGGGAGAGGGUGGUGCCCAAAGUGAAUUCUAAACUAUUCCAUUCUUUCAUAGCUGUGUAUGUAAAUAAUUUGCAAAUAAUUCAAGAGUCGUAAAAAGAAAUAUUUUUUUAUUUAUAUGUAAAUAAAAAACAAUGAACAUCAAACUGUACAUGUUUUUUGACAUUGAACAUAAAUAACAAAACUAUUUACAUAUUUACACCAAACGGCGCACCCUGAAGCCAACAUAUUGACCCAAGGGGUCAGGAAAUGCAGUUCUUAUCUUCCAAACGCAGCAGCUCGGAAUAAUAACCCUAUUGCCUUCACCCAAGCGGCCAUGCUGCCACAGUACAAAUUGGCGGUAUGCCGCAUGUCUGUACUGUCGCUGCUCCACCCCUGGUUCCUGUUCGUCAUCAACAGCAAACACAUCGUUCCAUGCAGCCCAUGCCAGCCGUAAAACGCCCGGGUCAAGAACAUAUAACUGCAUAUGUGCCAUGCUGCUGACAGAGUUUUCAGGGGCCUGGCGGCAGCAGAGCCUUUCUUGGUCUGUUGUCAUCUCCCUGCAAUUACUGCAGGUGCACCAAUGUAAAGGUCCCUACCUGUCUCUACCUCAGAAGAGGCAGAUGUUGACAAUGAUGUCGAUUCCUGCAAUAAAACCAUAGAAAAAAACUUGUUGACAUCCAAACCUCAUACACCAUUAGCCAUGCAUGAAUUAUCCUUUCGAAUUUAGCUAAUACAGUGUUAUAAUAAACUGUUUCUACUGUCUUUGACGUUAGCUAUUGUGAUCUGUCCUAUGUCGAUAAAACAACGAAAAUUGAUGUAUUGUGAUGUACAUCCCUGCCUAUGUAAUUAAUGAAAGAAUAGGCUGUAGCCUUAUCAGUGUCAUCCCUGUCUCACGGAGAUUUGUAGUUUUAGUUAGGGUGACCAGAUUUUAGUUUGUGAAAAAGAGGACACUUCGUUGCGGGGGAGGGGUAGUGUAUAGCCCUCCCCCGCGACGAAAUUUACCAAAGGCUCAGAAUGAUCGUAUUUAGAGGAUAAUUAUCGUACAUCUGCCAGCACUGACAAGGCUAUCGACCAUUGACAGUUCUCUCUACAGUCAGAGCUCGCGCAAGAAGGUGGAAUGAAAAGGAGAUACCCUUUCCAAAACUACGUAGUAACUAGUUUGUGAAAGACCCAGAGAAACACAAAUAUCCGACGAGGCAAAAUCCCGGACGCUUUUGGAAUCCCUGCCGGACGCAUUUUUUAGGUCUCGAAAUUUGUUUUAUGUCCGGGUAAAAGAGGACGUCUGGUCACCCUACUAUGCAAACAAUGCUACCGUGUUCUUCAGACCAAAGGAGGUAAUACUUCCAAUUUAGCAAAGCACCUGAAAGACCGUCUUCCGGAUUUGUUUAAAGAAUUCAAGAAGAGUUUUGAUUCAUAUUAACAACAUCCAAAGAAUGCACUUUUUCAGUUAUUUUUAUCUGUCAUACUGAAAUACACGUUACAUGAUGUUUAAGAUGGUGGGCACGUGUGUUAAGCCAUUGUAUGUUAUGUACGUAGUUUAGGUUAGCUAUGCUGUAGUUUUAACGUUAGCCUAUAGCCUACCUUGGUUAGAAGGAGAGAGAAAGAGAGCAUGUAUCUUGCAAGUAUCAUGUCAAAACUAGCGAAAUUCACUGAAUGUCCUAGUUUAAUAUAGUUACAACUGAAUAUGCAAUUGGUUUGAAAAAACACGAUUACCCAAUUUAUUUAUUGUUUUCGAUGCCAUAGACUCAAUGUAGCCUAAAAGACGAUUUGCGAGUAACAGCUGGAAUUUCGCCGC
This is a long non-coding RNA of Clupea harengus (Atlantic herring), 7260 nucleotides long. Lineage: Eukaryota; Metazoa; Chordata; Actinopteri; Clupeiformes; Clupeidae. The record is from Ensembl.